RNAcentral lists this long non-coding RNA (342 nucleotides) under Polistes fuscatus (common paper wasp). RNAcentral's name for it is "uncharacterized LOC122522187". The record is from RNAcentral. Lineage: Eukaryota; Metazoa; Arthropoda; Insecta; Hymenoptera; Vespidae.
AGGAAUAAAAUUCAAAAAGGCCGCUCAUCAGGAAUUUAUUGCGCACGCGCAAGAGUUUCAUUUUUCAUUUGUUUAAUUUGAAAUUUAGUUUUUCAACGAUUUCGACGUAGAUGUGCUUGAUUGUGUUUUGGUGUGAACAAUUUUGGAGAAAGUUUUUGUGAUUAUUAGUGAUAAAGAAGUUUAAAAAGCGUUCUUAUGUAUCAUAAUAACGAUAGCACAAGAUAGAAAGAAAAUAUAUGUUAUAAAAGAGGAAACUUCUAUUUCUGUUUGAUACUUUCGAACAUUGUAGAUUAUUCAUUUGUUAAAACUAACGCAAAAGGAUAAAGUAAAAGUAAUGGAAAA